This 533-nucleotide ribosomal RNA is filed under the name Eunotia sp. RNAcentral describes it as "SSU rRNA". It matches the Rfam family "Eukaryotic small subunit ribosomal RNA", at positions 598 to 1136 of the family's 1831-position model. The record is from RNAcentral. Lineage: Eukaryota; Bacillariophyta; Bacillariophyceae; Eunotiales; Eunotiaceae.
CGUAUAUUAAAGUUGUUGCAGUUAAAAAGCUCGUAGUUGGAUUUGUGGCAGGUGCGUGCGGCCCGACACUGUGUGUGGGUGCUUGUGCGCGCCGCCAUCCUUGGGUGGAACCUGUGUGGCAUUAGGUUGUCGUGCAGGGGAUGCCCAUCUUUUACUGUGAAAAAAUUAGAGUGUUCAAAGCAGGCUUAUGCCGUUGAAUAUAUUAGCAUGGAAUAAUGAGAUAGGACCUUGGUACUAUUUUGUUGGUUUGCGCACCAAGGUAAUGAUUAAUAGGGACAGUUGGGGGUAUUCGUAUUCCAUUGUCAGAGGUGAAAUUCUUGGAUUUCUGGAAGACGAACUACUGCGAAAGCAUUUACCAAGGAUGUUUUCAUUAAUCAAGAACGAAAGUUAGGGGAUCGAAGAUGAUUAGAUACCAUCGUAGUCUUAACCAUAAACUAUGCCGACAAGGGAUUGGCGGGGUUUCAUUUUGUCUCCGUCAGCACCUUAUGAGAAAUCACAAGUCUUUGGGUUCCGGGGGGAGUAUGGUCGCAAGG